GGGCCAUUAGCUCAGCUGGUAGAGCACCUGACUUUUAAUCAGGGUGUCGAUGGUUCGAACCCAUCAUGGCUCA
This 73-nucleotide transfer RNA is filed under the name Firmicutes bacterium HGW-Firmicutes-12. RNAcentral describes it as "tRNA-Lys". It matches the Rfam family "tRNA". From Rfam's summary of the family: Transfer RNA (tRNA) molecules are approximately 80 nucleotides in length. Their secondary structure includes four short double-helical elements and three loops (D, anti-codon, and T loops). The record is from RNAcentral. Lineage: Bacteria; Bacillati; Bacillota.